This 203-nucleotide ribosomal RNA is filed under the name Staphylococcus aureus. RNAcentral describes it as "partial 16S ribosomal RNA". It matches the Rfam family "Bacterial small subunit ribosomal RNA", at positions 709 to 910 of the family's 1533-position model. Lineage: Bacteria; Bacillati; Bacillota; Bacilli; Caryophanales; Staphylococcaceae. The record is from RNAcentral.
CCAGUGGCGAAGGCGACUUUCUGGUCUGUAACUGACGCUGAUGUGCGAAAGCGUGGGGAUCAAACAGGAUUAGAUGCCCUGAUAGUCCACGCCGUAAACGAUGAGUGCUAAGUGUUAGGGGGUUUCCGCCCCUUAGUGCUGCAGCUAACGCAUUAAGCACUCCGCCUGGGGAGUACGACCGCAAGGUUGAAACUCAAAGGAAU